RNAcentral lists this ribosomal RNA (405 nucleotides) under uncultured bacterium. Its description in RNAcentral is "partial 16S ribosomal RNA". It matches the Rfam family "Bacterial small subunit ribosomal RNA", at positions 33 to 526 of the family's 1533-position model. The record is from RNAcentral.
GACGACGCUGGCGGCGUGCCUAAUACAUGCAAGUAGGACGAGUUGCGAACGGGUGAGUAACGCGUGGUAACCUACCUAUUAGAGGGGGAUAACUACUGGAAACGGUAGCUAAUACCGUAUCCCAUCCGAUGUGCCCAUAUGGUAUUAGCUAGUAGGUGGGGUAAUGGCUCACCUAGGCGACGAUCCCUAGCUGGUCUGAGAGGAGGACCAGCCACACUGGAACUGAGACACGGGCCAGACUCCGACGGGAGGCAGCAGUGGGGAAUAUUGCACAAUGGGCGCAAGCCUGAUGCAGCCAUGCCGCGUGGGUGAAGAAGGCCUUCGGGUUGUAAAGCACUUUCAGCGAGGAGGCGUUACUCGCAGAAGAAGCACCGGCUAACUACGUGCCAGCAGCCGCGGUAAUAC